GACGAACGCUGGCGGCGUGCUUAACACAUGCCAGUCGAGCGGUAAGGCCUUUCGGGGUACACGAGCGGCGAACGGGUGAGUAACACGUGGGUGAUCUGCCCUGCACUUCGGGAUAAGCCUGGGAAACUGGGUCUAAUACCGGAUAUGACCUCCUAUCGCAUGGUGGGUGGUGGAAAGAUUUAUCGGUGCAGGAUGGGCCCGCGGCCUAUCAGCUUGUUGGUGGGGUAAUGGCCUACCAAGGCGACGACGGGUAGCCGACCUGAGAGGGUGACCGGCCACACUGGGACUGAGACACGGCCCAGACUCCUACGGGAGGCAGCAGUGGGGAAUAGUGCACAAUGGGCGAAAGCCUGAUGCAGCGACGCCGCGUGAGGGAUGACGGCCUUCGGGUUGUAAACCUCUUUCAGCAGGGACGAAGCGCAAGUGACGGUACCUGCAGAAGAAGCACCGGCUAACUACGUG
RNAcentral lists this ribosomal RNA (462 nucleotides) under uncultured bacterium. RNAcentral describes it as "partial 16S ribosomal RNA". It matches the Rfam family "Bacterial small subunit ribosomal RNA", at positions 28 to 507 of the family's 1533-position model. The record is from RNAcentral.